Molecule: long non-coding RNA, 717 nt
Organism: Ictidomys tridecemlineatus (thirteen-lined ground squirrel)
Lineage: Eukaryota; Metazoa; Chordata; Mammalia; Rodentia; Sciuridae
Source: RefSeq, a predicted model, not a curated record
GACGUCCUCAACCACGUGUUCCUGCCGGGUUUUACUAUGCUGUCACAGGCCCAAAGGGGCAUGGACUGAGGGUCUGAAACUUUCUUCCUUAUGAGUUGAUUCUUCUUAUCAACAAAGAAAUGGAUGUUCUGGCCACAAAUCUAGAACAGACUGCACCAGCUACUCUGGGUGAGAAUCCAGCUGAGCCACUGAUUGACCUUGGCUUUGUGACUUUGGAAAGACACUUAACUUUAUAAAAAUAUAAAGAAAAGCCACCAUAAAAGCAACGGUGAGAGAGCUUUUCAAAAUGGAGUUGGAAGGCCAUUAAGGAAACAGGAUUCACACACGCCUCCAGCUGCUGCCUGGGAAGUUUUGGCUGACCUUCACCUUCCAUUAUGGUCAUCUGGACGGAGCAAAUUCCCAUGUAUCCAGAGACUCAAGUUCUGUGUCAAGAAGUUAUUGGAUUAUUGUUUUGUGGACAUUUUCACUAUGUAUAUGCAUUUUUUCCUAAUCUUUAACCAGUCACAUUAUCCCUGUCAGCAUUGCCCUUCUCAAUAAUUGAUAGAAGUUUCCCAGAGAAGGGAAUUUUUCCUGCUUUGCCAAUAACUCAGCACUGCUUGCCUAUAUAUGCUCCCACUUCCCUUUCCUCCUUCAGAAUGCCUACUAUGUUCUAUCUGAAUCUGUCUCCUGAAUUGCAAUUCCUAAGACUCCCAAAUAAAGUUCUUUUACAGUCUCAAA